GGUCCCUCGUCAAAAUAACCGUCCAAUUUAUUGAGCAGGGCUCAAAUUAAAGGUGUUAGUAAUAAUUUAAGAACUUUCGACAACUUUAUAAACUAAACCGUUCACACGUACAAGGUAUAGGAUUAGCUAUUUCUGUUUUCUUUGAGCUUUUAUCAAUAUGAUUUUAUAAUCUGACAAUUAGAAAUAAACAGAUUCUAGUAUGGUUACUAGUCGGCAAUUUAA
RNAcentral lists this long non-coding RNA (222 nucleotides) under Elaeis guineensis (African oil palm). RNAcentral's name for it is "long non-coding RNA (EGUI_LNC028383)". Lineage: Eukaryota; Viridiplantae; Streptophyta; Magnoliopsida; Arecales; Arecaceae. The record is from RNAcentral.